Emmonsiellopsis sp. PD_5 is the source of this 99-nucleotide non-coding RNA. The record is from the annotation of a GenBank genome assembly. Lineage: Eukaryota; Fungi; Ascomycota; Eurotiomycetes; Onygenales; Ajellomycetaceae.
GGGCGAUUGGUUUAGUGGUAUAAUACCCCCUUAGCAUCAGAUCUCUGAUAUCAGAAUCUCGCAUGGGGGUGGUCCAGGGUUCGAUUCCCUGAUCGUCCA